This 207-nucleotide ribosomal RNA is filed under the name uncultured bacterium. Its description in RNAcentral is "partial 16S ribosomal RNA". It matches the Rfam family "Bacterial small subunit ribosomal RNA", at positions 568 to 774 of the family's 1533-position model. The record is from RNAcentral.
UGCGUAGGCGGUUUACUAAGUCAGAUGUGAAAGCCCCGGGCUUAACCUGGGAACUGCAUUUGAUACUGGUAGGCUAGAGUAUGAUAGAGGGGGGUAGAAUUCCCGGUGUAGCGGUGAAAUGCGUAGAUAUCAGGAGGAAUACCAGUGGCGAAGGCGGCCCCCUGGAUCAAUACUGACGCUGAGGUACGAAAGCGUGGGUAGCGAACA